UACGGGGGGGGCAAGCGUUGUUCGGAAUUACUGGGCGUAAAGGGCGCGUAGGCGGCCCGCUAAGUCGAACGUGAAAUCCCCGAGCUCAACUCGGGAACUGCGUCCGAUACUGGCGGGCUUGAAUCCGGGAGAGGGAUGCGGAAUUCCAGGUGUAGCGGUGAAAUGCGUAGAUAUCUGGAGGAACACCGGUGGCGAAGGCGGCAUCCUGGACCAAUUCUGACGCUGAGUGAGCGAAAGCCAGGGGAGCAAACGGG
This 254-nucleotide ribosomal RNA is filed under the name uncultured bacterium. RNAcentral describes it as "partial 16S ribosomal RNA". It matches the Rfam family "Bacterial small subunit ribosomal RNA", at positions 524 to 776 of the family's 1533-position model. The record is from RNAcentral.